CAGAGUUUGAAGAAGAAGAAGAAUAGCCCAUCCCUUUCGGCCAGCAAUUAUAUAAGGUCAUUUUAUACUCGACAAAAUUAGUUUGCAGAAUACUCCAGUGAAAGAGCGAAUUCACAUUUUGUCACUAACUACAUUAUUCCAGGCUUGUUUUAACUAGUGUAAAGCAUCAGAGAUUUAACAAACACGAAGCGACACGUAUCAGCGACUUGACUAUAAGUUUUGGCAACUCUUCAAUUGGAACAAGAUCUCCUGGGAGAUGCUUGCAAACAAAUCGUCAGAUACCCCAGCUGGAUAUUCUUUAUACGAUUCUUUGUUCAGAUUGUUGGGAAUUUUGUAUUUUGUGGUGGAAAAAAAGAUCCACCAGUAAAGUGUAUAGUUGCUUUCAAUUUCUAUAAGUUUUGAAAUUUUGAUUGAAGGCCCACAUUGAUAUUCAUCCAUUGAGGUAGAAUAAGUAUAGGCUAAUAAUAUGUUGUUCUAGGGCGUGUAUAGCUAUUCAACUCGAAAAGAAAUGCUCUACUAUUUACUCUGCA
This is a long non-coding RNA of Ananas comosus (pineapple), 530 nucleotides long. RefSeq lists it as uncharacterized. The record is from RefSeq and is a predicted model, not a curated record. The transcript is spliced from 2 exons. Lineage: Eukaryota; Viridiplantae; Streptophyta; Magnoliopsida; Poales; Bromeliaceae.